Molecule: ribosomal RNA, 414 nt
Filed under: uncultured bacterium
Lineage: Bacteria
Description: bacterial SSU rRNA
Rfam family: Bacterial small subunit ribosomal RNA
Source: RNAcentral
AAUGAACGCUGGCGGCGCGCCUAAUACAUGCAAGUCGAGCGAGAAGACGUAGCAAUACGUUUGUAAAGCGGCGAACGGGUGAGGAAUACAUGGGUAACCUACCCUCGAGUGGGGAAUAACUAGCCGAAAGGUUAGCUAAUACCGCGUACGCUUCUUGGACUUCGGUUCAGGGAGGAAAGCGAUGCCGAGGGUAUCGCGCUCUUGGAUGGGCUCAUGUCCUAUCAGCUUGNGGUGAGGUAACGGCUCACCAAGGCUUCGACGGGUAGCUGGUCUGAGAGGACGAUCAGCCACACUGGCACUGCGACACGGGCCAGACUCCUACGGGAGGCAGCAGUAAGGAAUAUUGCGCAAUGGGCGAAAAGCCUGACGCAGCGACGCCGCGUGGGGGAUGAAGGUCUUCGGAUUGUAAACCCC